CUGGAAUCCUAGGAGGGUGGAGAACCUCCCAGCCAUUUAACAGCCUGAGGACAUGGUCUAGCUUAGAGGGAAAAGGCAGCUCCUGCCUCUGGCUCCUGGGAGCUCCCAAGCCUCUGUCAAGCUGAUGAAGAUGAAAUUCUCAAGUACCAAAAAUCACCCUCAAAAUGGGCGGGCCUCGAAUGUCACAAUGCCCUCAGGAAGGAGGCCUGGUCCGGGCAACCGCUCAGCAAACAAGCCAGCACCGACGGGAUGGCAGAAGGGGCCACUUUGCAGGAGCUGGGGGGUAAGGGCAGAAGGGGCAGAGGUGGAAGGGUCAGGCCACCAGCAAAGGGCUCCUGGACAAGGCUGGGGACUCGGAGCUGCGGUGAACUGGGGAUUCCCUUCUCUAUUGACCCCCCACACUCGGAGAGAGCACUUACUGACUGAGGAAGACCCUCCGACGGCGGCGGCGGCAGGUACCCUGCUAACACUAGAAGAAAGUAGCAGCUGCCGAUCUUGCCCAGGAAGUCCCAUGUUCAUCCAUUCUCCCAAGGAAAUGCAUUCUACAAUUUGA
Phascolarctos cinereus (koala) is the source of this 553-nucleotide long non-coding RNA. The record is from Ensembl. NCBI's taxonomy places the organism in Eukaryota, Metazoa, Chordata, Mammalia, Diprotodontia, Phascolarctidae.